Molecule: ribosomal RNA, 1071 nt
Filed under: Pediococcus pentosaceus
Lineage: Bacteria; Bacillati; Bacillota; Bacilli; Lactobacillales; Lactobacillaceae
Description: bacterial SSU rRNA
Rfam family: Bacterial small subunit ribosomal RNA
Source: RNAcentral
GUGCCCGAUACAUGCAAGUCGAACGAACUUCCGUUAAUUGAUUAUGACGUACUUGUACUGAUUGAGAUUUUAACACGAAGUGAGUGGCGAACGGGUGAGUAACACGUGGGUAACCUGCCCAGAAGUAGGGGAUAACACCUGGAAACAGAUGCUAAUACCGUAUAACAGAGAAAACCGCAUGGUUUUCUUUUAAAAGAUGGCUCUGCUAUCACUUCUGGAUGGACCCGCGGCGUAUUAGCUAGUUGGUGAGGUAAAGGCUCACCAAGGCAGUGAUACGUAGCCGACCUGAGAGGGUAAUCGGCCACAUUGGGACUGAGACACGGCCCAGACUCCUACGGGAGGCAGCAGUAGGGAAUCUUCCACAAUGGACGCAAGUCUGAUGGAGCAACGCCGCGUGAGUGAAGAAGGGUUUCGGCUCGUAAAGCUCUGUUGUUAAAGAAGAACGUGGGUAAGAGUAACUGUUUACCCAGUGACGGUAUUUAACCAGAAAGCCACGGCUAACUACGUGCCAGCAGCCGCGGUAAUACGUAGGUGGCAAGCGUUAUCCGGAUUUAUUGGGCGUAAAGCGAGCGCAGGCGGUCUUUUAAGUCUAAUGUGAAAGCCUUCGGCUCAACCGAAGAAGUGCAUUGGAAACUGGGAGACUUGAGUGCAGAAGAGGACAGUGGAACUCCAUGUGUAGCGGUGAAAUGCGUAGAUAUAUGGAAGAACACCAGUGGCGAAGGCGGCUGUCUGGUCUGCAACUGACGCUGAGGCUCGAAAGCAUGGGUAGCGAACAGGAUUAGAUACCCUGGUAGUCCAUGCCGUAAACGAUGAUUACUAAGUGUUGGAGGGUUUCCGCCCUUCAGUGCUGCAUCUAACGCAUUAAGUAAUCCGCCUGGCGGAGUACGACCGCAAGGGUUGAAACUCAUAGAAGUCGACGGGGGCCGCACAAGCGGUGAGCAUGUGGUUUAAUUCGAAGCUACGCGAGACCUACCAGGUCUGACAUCUUCUGACAUCUAGGAGAUCAGACGAUCCCUUCGGGACGGAUGUACAGAUGUGCAUUGAUUGUACGUCAGCUCAUGUCUGAUACGU